Molecule: ribosomal RNA, 358 nt
Filed under: Pilodius moranti
Lineage: Eukaryota; Metazoa; Arthropoda; Malacostraca; Decapoda; Xanthidae
Description: partial 12S ribosomal RNA
Source: RNAcentral
UAUUAUACUGACAAAUACACAAUCCUUGAAUUAUUAAUAGAUAUAGUCUUUAAAUUUGAAGAAUUUGGCGGUGACUUAGUCUUGUUAGAGGAACCUGUUUUUGAAUCGAUAGACCACGUAUAAUUUUACUCGUUUUAUUAGUUUGUAUACCGUCAUUAUCAGAUAAUUUUAAAAGAAAUAAUUAUUAAAAUUUCUUAACAUGGAAAUUAAAUUAGAUCAAGGUGCAGCUUAUAAAUGAGUUAAAAUGGGUUACAAUAAGGUUUACUUAAACGGAAUAGUGAUAGGAAGGAACACUAUAAAGGUGGAUUUAAUUGUAAUUGGAAUUUAGCAAGUUUAAAAAAUAUAAGCUCUAAGUCAU